RNAcentral lists this long non-coding RNA (1095 nucleotides) under Homo sapiens (human). RNAcentral's name for it is "HSALNT0043535". Lineage: Eukaryota; Metazoa; Chordata; Mammalia; Primates; Hominidae. The record is from RNAcentral.
AAGGAAGAGAGGAGGCGGGGGAGAGAGAAAGCAGAAGAGGAAAAAACAUGGCGCUUGCGAGCUAGGUGGGCUCCAGUCACCGGCUGCGGGAUUGCGGAGUCCGCCGCGGCCUCGGCUCCCGCCCGGCGCCCGGCCUGGCCCCACCGCCGCUCACUCGGUCCGCAUCGCCGCCACCUCCGGAGCUGGUGGGGAGCCCGGCGAGGGAGGGCCUGGAAGGGGCCCUGGGCGCCGAGUCCCCCGCCGGCGCCGACACCGCCUGCCAGGAGCAGCCGGCCUGCUCGAGGUGACUGCAGCCGCGCGGUUCUGGCGCGGCUUCUUCACCAACAUGAGCGGGUCUCUGCGUCCGAGAGUGAGCGCAGCCGGGCAGCGCCUAGUGGAUUACAGCAGACGCCCGGACCGACCGCCGCCUGUAGCUCGGCAGCCUUCGGAUCAGGGAGCCGAUAGCAUGUCCGGGCCUUGGUGACGACGGGUCAGGCCAUGAACUGGGCUUGAGAUCUCUGGCGAGGACCAGGAGAAAGACGAAGCUCGAAAUUAUAAAUGUGGCCAAGCACGAGAGCUGAAAACAAAGCGUAUUUUCCCGUCAGAUGUUUCUACAAAUAAAUUUCGCCAGAGUUCUGUUUUCUGAAUCAGAGAGGCAAGGGAAAUCGAACAAAGACAGUAUUUCACCCUGGGCUGGCAGGCAGCUGUUAGAGGUAUUUACGGCCUUGCCGCAGUGCGGCGGCCAGGCAGCCGGGUAGGGUAUGCGGGGGCACCGGAAGCUGGGGAGAAGCCAUGAAGAACUCAGAAUUUCAACUUAAAUUCAAUUUAGGGUCACGUUUUCGGAAAUGGCGUGAACAGAUGCCCUCUUUCUAGGGACUGGUCCUUUAGACUUGAUAGUUUUGCAGAAUGAGGGAGAAGUUGUGCUCUCUGGAUGUAGGAUGGUUUUCCCCGCCUUGAAGAACGACUCAAAGGGAAGCGGUGCCCAAGAUGUGACAUUUCUGAUCCACAUAACAACCUUCAGAGUGUUCAUUGGCAACGAGGAGAUGCUGCUUGUUCGGCGGAAUAGGGUUUGCAAAUCAGAAAGGACAGUUGAAGCUUUUAAUACAUGUUUUCCUG